GUGGCACAGGUGGGCGUGUUGACGGCGACUCGAACAAGACCAUGUCCACACAUGAGCAGUCAUGGAUUGGUGUGUCCUGCGGGCUCCUUGCCUCUCACAAUCAACCACCGAAGGGGCUAUCCUUCUUAGUCCUGUGCUCAUUCGUAUCUUUAGGCCAUCCUUUUUAGUCCAGUGCAUUGCGUGUGCCAUCUACCCGGCUCUGCAGGAAGUCAACGUACCCCAUGUGCCAGUUCGCCUCCCCACCUCGAGCGGGAGGCACAACCACAAUGUGGUCGUCAUGCGCACCUUAAUGACACAAUCCUUGGGCCCCAUGCUGGCUGGGCUCUUGAAGUAUCGCAAGCUCUCGCAAAUGCGGCAGGCUUCGGGGGCUUCGGCCCUCGGCCCAAACCUUGGUAGGUCAUUAAGAACCCUCGUCGAGACAAUGGUCGAUCCACCGAUGGGCCCCUUCCGCUCCCUGCGGGUAGUCAGGCGCCUUGACAACACCGACAUCG
Molecule: unclassified non-coding RNA, 491 nt
Filed under: Acanthostachys pitcairnioides
Lineage: Eukaryota; Viridiplantae; Streptophyta; Magnoliopsida; Poales; Bromeliaceae
Description: partial 26S-18S rRNA external transcribed spacer
Source: RNAcentral